UGGCUUCGUUCUCGACGGGUGUGCGUUUGAACAAGUUUGGUGUGAAACUCGCACAGACAGUUUUCACUACUAACCUAACACUUAUCCUCGUUUGGUGGUUAGAAGCGUGCAGGAAGAAUAGUGCAUGUUUUCACUGGUGUAUGGUGAGGAACAGCAUAGGGAAAAGUGUUUUGCCAGCAGCCAGCACCAUUUUUGAAGCAGUGAAUGGAGAUGCCUAGUGUGAGCAGCCUGCAAUCGAUAAAUAUUCACGUGAUUCCAGUGGAAACUGUGUGUCGCUUGGAGGAGGAAAAUAAAUUGCAAAGCUUGGAAAUGUAUUCUUCAGUGUAUUAAAACCGGCCCUUUGAAACAGUUAUUCAAUUCAUCCAAAUAAUCCGUUGGUGUGACUGUGUGUGCCCGGUGAAAGUAGAUUGAAUUUGUGCAACGCUUAAGCGAACGACGCGCUGCGCCAAACUGCCGGAACAUCUUUGCGCUCCACCACUUGCUUUACCAACCCCGGGGGGACACCAUUGUCCCGGUGGUGCAAUAUAUGAGUAGACCGAGCCAGCCGGUAGCUGCAAACUCCGGGCGGCCCUAGUGCAUUCGCUGUUCAGCUAUGGAUGAAUGCCAGCAUGAGCUCGACUUUGAAGAGCUAGAAAAAUUGUGCAGAAACACACCGGAGGACGAACUGUCGGAAGCGGAAGAGGACCCAGGAACAGUGCAGGCAACGGGUGGUGAAGAGGGCGGUGGAGCAGGAAGGUUUAGAGAUAUGGGCCAAUCGGAGAGCAAGAAAGCGUCGAAGAAAGCGGCCGCCACCGACACCGGUCUGCACACCAAGGGUACGGCCAUGUCAUUUGGCUUCAAGAAGCACAAGGUGCACCAGCAGCAGACCAGCAGCAACCACGGUACGCUCGGCGCGGCCAACGGAACAGCCAACAAAUUGCUCACGGGUGUGGCACCACAUACCACCGGUACGGAUGGUGGCGGUACGGAACCGGUCCCGGGAGCGGUCGCUAAUCAGAUCAAGAAGUUCAACAAUAACAACCUUAACAACAACAACAACAACAACCACAACAGCAGCGGCAAUGCGACAUUGGAAAGGGAGAAAGCGGAAAGGGAGCUGGUGCACGCGACCGUCAUCACGAACCCGGGCGUCGAUGCGGGAUUUAGCGACAAGAACGGAAAUACCGGGUCAAUCGAAUCAGUAGACGAUGGCGGUGGCGGCGGCCGUAACACAUCCACUGGCCGUACCACACCCCGACUGCAGCCCGCCAAGAAAGACAGCCAUGGAGCGCCGUACCGUAGCAAUCGAUUCGGUUUCCGCACUAACAACAUCGUCCGGCCGGCAUCGGUCGGUCUGCAGCCCCGGGUGGCCAACGACUUGGACAAACAUUCCUCCAACACCAACAACAACAAUAUCCACACCAGUAACAACAACAAUAACAACGUGUACGUCGUUAGCGACAAACGCCGCUCGAAGAGUGCUUCAUCGGCGGCAUCCGCACGCACAACCUUUACGCCACUAUCCGGCACUGCGGCGACGACGGCUGCAACCGGAACUGCUGGUGGGAAUGCAGCGAUGGCGCUGCAUCAGCACGCGUACGGUGGUGGUGGCGCAGGUGCGCUGCAUCGCCCUAUGCCGAAAUACCAGGCGGCGUCGAAUACAAAAAUAACCCACAACAACGCACCGCCGGACAACGGUGGUGGUUUCGGGACUUAUCAACAGCAGAUGACGAAAUGCAACCUGGGGGAGCAUAAAAAUACUCAGCAUUCCGGUACGGCCCAGCAGCGGCAAUCGGCCCAGCAGCAGCAUCAGUAUACGCACGGCAGCGAAGCCGGACAGAACGGCGCGUCGUCCGUUGGUGGUGGACUAUGUGCAAAACCACCACUGGCCGGCAAUGGCAGCGCUGCCGCUACGACGACGACUACUACGACGACCAAACUAGGUCAGGAGGCGGCAACUACGGCCAACAAGUUUACGCUCCAUUCAUCCAGCCUCCCGAAACCCCAGUAUCCGGUGUCGAUCUCGCUAACGUCCGGCACAACCUCCGGACCGUCGGCGGCCAGCUCACGCUACACGAUGGACACGAAGGGUGCCAAGCACGCGGUCAACGUCAGUCGCAAAGAGUUCGCCAACACGAACGUGACCGGAGCACCGGCCCUCGAAGACACGACCACAACCACCACCAGCAGCAUCCGUAUGCCGCGGCAACGCUAUCGCAACUUGGAGAUGGUAAUGAGCGGCCGGCACAAGUUCGAAGUGCGCGAUCUGGAAGCGCUCACGACGGAACCGAUCGUACCGCUUCCACUGCCCGAACUGCCGAGCGCAUUCUGCAGCACAACCAACCAGCGAACGGCACCGCUAAGUGGACUGAUUCGAUCGACGGAGCUGAAUGCGAGCGCUAACGCAUCCUCGCUGCACGACGAUAUCGACAUCAAUGACAAUCGGUACGAGAUUGCGGAACCGGGUGCAGAGGAGGAUGAGGCCGAAACGACGCCCACCAGCCACGAUGGCGGCGAAGGCCAGAAGGAAAGUUUGGAGGAGGAAAAACUGUUGCGCGAUAACAAUUCGUCGGAAAAGAGUCUGAAGGGUGCGCUGAUGAAGGACCUGGUCGAGAGCUACGAGGAAAGCAAGAGCUCGACGCCCAGCUGUUCGCGGGCGUCUUGGUUCACGGCUGGCGAGGCACUUGCGGCCAAAGACUUUGGUAUUCGCAGCUUGAGUACGAGCGUGGAGAGCAGCAGCACAUCGAAGCAGGCGGAUUCGAUUCCGAAGCAAGCGGCGGCACAGGAGGAACCUGACGAAGAAGACAUUAGCUCCGUUACUAUUACCGCGGGCAAUCCUUCUGCGUUCUCUUCCAUAUCGGCACCAGUUCCGAUGGACGUUUCGACCAAUCUCGAUAGCGUCUCGGAGGUACAGAUCAGCUUCACCGAUCCAGGAACCGAUCCGCUCGCUAGCAGCGAAACCGACGUACCGAACCGGAUGUACCGCAACGAGCAGACUAAGUUUGCCGAAAUGGCCGCUGCCAUUAGCGAUGUGCUGCUGCUGGACGACGAAACAUCUCCGACCGAUAGUCUCGUCAGCAGCUGUACGGAAAAUUCGGAUGAUGCGAAGAAACCACGGCACGGUGCAAAGAAAGCGGUUGAAAAUAGCAAGGACAAGGAAAAGGACAUUGAUGAAAUUUCGCCCGAGCUGGACGAACUUACCAGUCCCGUAUCGCCCGGCACCCCGACGCAUGCUUCCAACUCCCUGUCGCUGUCGGACGGUGGUAGGGAUUUUCUUAUUGACGAUGAAAUUGCCGAUCAGCCGGGACUGGUGUUCGAUGAAGGCAGUACACUCGAUCUCGGUUCGCUCAACCUUAAUCUGACAUCGCAAAAGACGGAGAACACGACCACGCUGAAGGACAACCAAAGUCGAGCUGGUGCCGUUGGGGUUACUACUGCACCUGGAGCUGCUCAACCGACAGCAAUCAAAGCGACUCCACCAUCUGUCGUUAAACCACGCAAAGUUAUGGCAGAUACGUACGAAUCACCAGCCCUAUCGCGAAAGUCUACUCGGAGUGGUAAUCGCAUGGCAAGAGCUGAAUCGCUGGAUACACUAUCGCCGUGCGAUUCGAUCGCAUCGGAUGAUUUUAUGCUGGACUUUGACUGCAACAGUAGCAUGGAUUCGAUCGAUCGGGUUGCUCGUUCCAGUAUGGGUGGUAGUGCUACGGGGCUGAACUCGAUGGAUGAACUACAGCUGUGGUCCGAGCUGGAGAACAAAGGAGGCCACAUCAUACGCGAGUGGAGCACACUGCUGCGCAGCAGCCCACAGAACAUCAGCAACAGUGCUAACCGAUCCCAGCUACCAGCAAGGGCACGCCUACUCACCCGAAGGCUCCAGAACAAUGCAACACCUACGAAUGGGUCGGAAAGUCCCCGCUCGAUCGACAGUCUACCCCGGCGAACGUUUUCCGGCUCGUACAAAACGGCCACCCUUAGCCAGUUCCACAAUCUCGCCAACAACAACAACUUUACGGAUUCGGCCUCGACGGCUACCAACUCCGCGGAAGAUCUCACCCUGCUCGACAAGUCGCUGCGCAACUCCAUGCUACAGGACGUGGUGCACUUCAAGAAGCAGCUGGUACGACUUCGUCGGAUACUGCAAGAGGAUGAAGAAAAUUUGAUGAUGACCGACACUCUCAACCCAUUUGAAAAUAACAAUGGGCAAUUCUUCACGACGGCAGCCGCAAUCGCAACCGCCAACGGUAGCAUCGGGUCCGGGGCGACAACCACCACGACGACGACGGCAACGGCAGGCCAGCAGGAACAGCAGCAGCUACAGGAAAACGUACUCAUCCGUGAGUCCAGCGUGGCGGCCCUUGCCCUACUCGAGGACCAGCGGCAGGAGCUGGCGGAUCUCAGAAGACAGGUGGUUUACCUUCAGGGUGAACUAACGGCCAAAGAUCGCACGAUUCGGCAGCAGCAGAAUCUGAUCGAAAAGUAUGAAGCGGAGCGAGAGAAGCAACAGCACAGCCUCUCGAACGGUAGCUCAUCGUUGGACAGUAAUGGAGACACAGCCGCAGGUGACACUUCCGCCAGUAACCAUCCGUCGGCGGACACCAUCAGCACCGCAACACAGACCGAACGUUUGAGGCCCGUUUCGUUCGGUGGACAGGAAGGAUUAGGCAGGGUUUGCUUGCGACACCUGCCCACAAGGCCACUGUACGUGGCGGACUAUUUUCCACUGUGCCAUAGUUCGAUCGGAUUCGAGGUGGCACUCGCUUCACGGUGCUCUCGUUACUGUUGGGCUGGUGUUUCUAGUGUCUCAUUGCUUGCCAUCCGUUUACUGUCCAUUAUCCGUGAUUUGGCUAACCGCUUGCUGAACCGUUUAAGCCCUGCCGUCUCUCGGGCAGGUGAUGCGCUUCUACUGUCCUUGUGGCGAUGCAGUUAUCCAUUUGUUUUUGUGCGCAAUUUGAUACGAAAACUUUGCUCGCUUCUUCACUGCUUUUUCGCACUGUUUUCCACCUCCAGACGCGAGAGUUCUUAGUGGCCAUCCUUCAUUUUGUUCUAAAAUUGUUUAUUUCGAUCUUCGUUUACUUAACCUCCCGAUAUCACAGAACGCUCACAAGAAAUUCUCUUCUGUCUGUUCUUUCUUUCUAAUACAUGCGCUCUCUCGAAUACACAAUGUUGUUGAUUUGAAAAAAAAAACCGAAACAAAACCACCACCUGAUCAACUAAAUUCGGGAAACAUCUUCACCGGAUCGACUCGACCGUAUAACUCAUAUAACACGCGUUGUACUAACACCACGAUCAACACCUACUACUAACCUACACGUCCAUCUCAUCUGUAAAACUCAUCAUCUUCAUUGUGUGUACAAUCUCCGCCAAAACUACUCCUACCUCGCCUUAACCCCGCUCCCUACCGUCCCCGCUGUGGAAUCCUUUCCCUGCUUGGCUCCCCAACCUCGGCUUCUCAACCGGACCGAUACCGGUCACCUCCGAUAGGCUGCAACUGGGACAGUCGCAGUGAGAAGCCUAAAAAUGGUCUUCGGACACCAACGGCAGUUGGGCUUCCGAUCAACAGCAGCAGCAGCAGUACAACCCCAUCACCACACCAUAAUACCAGCAAUGGGCCAACCACCCCGAAAAGUAAAACCCAAAUCUCCUCCGUCUACACACAGCUGUCCUCGGUAAGGCACAGCAUUGCCGGCACCAGCGCCCCAACAACACCGACCACAGCUUCCCACAAUGGAGCGGUUCCGGUCGCACUGAGGCGUACAUCGCUCGGUUCCAGCCACAACCUAAGCUCGUUCGGAUUGCACACCAACAGCGAUCGAUCUCCUAGUAGUAAUGGUGCGGGCAGCAACAAACCCGUCCGGACGACACACAUCGGUACGCUGACCACCUCACCAACAGCCCGUCAGCAGCUAGCGAACGGUGAACGUAUAUCGGCACCGAAGCAAACGAAAACCAUCCCGCAUCGAACAGCAACGUCCGCGGUCAACGGGACCGGUAGUCACCCAAUUUCGAAGCUAAACGGGCUGAAUGGGACGACUAAACGGACUACGACAGGCAUCAUUAGGCCACCGUCAUCGUUUGGCAGUAGUAACAGCCUGGUGCCGGUGGAUCAGCAACAGCUCAAGAGCAAGUCGGCCCCAGUUACACCGUUGGUCGCAAUGAGCGGGAAGCUACUAACACCGGCCGCUACCGGUGCUUCGGAUGAACCAACGAAUGGGCAUCGGCUGUCGACGGACACCGAAUCCGAAUCCGAAUCGGACAAGGAUACGGUCGUGAAUGGAGCGUUGGUGAGCGGUUUAAAGCUGAUGGCCGGCUCUUCGGGUGGAUGUAACGAUGGAAGCAAUUUGGGCAGUGCUACCAACAGCACGGUCAAUGGUAUCGUAGGACAUUGAGGAGCCGGAAGACUAUCAACCGGAUGUGUGAUAAAAAUGGGGGAGUAAGGAGCGAACGAAGCGAUUCCGUACGGAGAGAGGUAUUAGAAAAAGUUGAAAGGUAACCACCUUUGCUGCUAAAGUGAAGUAAUAUUUUAUUAUCUAGCUAUUUUCCUGGUCCGAUUUUGAUUAAGCGUGCAAUGAAUGGUAAAGAGGUUUUAACCCAGAGGCUCAUCAUCCAUCCUUUUCUAGUUGAGGGGAUUUUUUUUGAUUUUUUUUUUCUUUCUUCCGGUAAGCCUUCCUUGGUCAUUACGUUUCGGUUAAAGAUAAGAAAAAAAACGGGUGAAUAUAUUGUCCCAUUUUGCCAAAACCUGAAAAGCUUUUCCCAUAGUGCGCACGAAAAUGCGCCUUUUAGUACUAAUUUUCAAAAUUCCUUCUGUCUCUUCCUUCUUUAUUGAUCAAUCCUUUUCCCUCGCAAAAAAAAACAACAACUGUUGAUAUGAAUAUAAAUUUAAUAAAAGGAAAAAGGAUUUAAACAACACACACACGCAAAUAAACUCACAAAAAGCAAGCAAAAUCAGCGGGCGCGAUAUGAAUGAAUGCAAAAUAUUAUAGCAAAUAAUUAUAGUAUGAACAAAUGUGAUCGAGAUUCGUGUAAUGUAAUAUUCAAAUGUAUUUGUACAACGUUAAGCUGGGACUUAAAACAGAACAAUGCAAAUCUAAUGGAGCAAAUAGCACACACCCACACACACAAGCAUUGUAUUUAUUUGGAUGCUUUAUACAGCCUAACCAAGCCCAGAGACACGUGGGACAGUAGUGAAUGGGAAAUGGAAUACAAUUUGCACAAAAACAGGCAAGAUACAACAGAAGAAGGAAAAAACUGUAAAGGCUAGUUUUGUUUGUACGGUAAACCUUAAAAUCAACCCCUUCUUCUUAUUGCUCCUGUACGCAGUCGCCAGCUUAAAUGAAGAAAACAGCCGCCAGAAACCGCCUCAAAAUGCAUGCCCAUUUUUAUCCAUUUUAAACCGCUCCCCCGGGAAACGGAUGGAGCAUAGCAAAAGCAUUAAAAGAGAAAUUGAAACAGGGAAACUAGUGUAGUAUUACAGUGCAAACUCAUUUAACCGUUCUGAUCCUCAAAAUUCGAUCGCUUCCGGGGUGCGUUACCUUUUUUUCUCUUCCUGUUUUCUUUACCGUCAAUUUAGUUUAGCAAAUGCGAACCUUUUUCGAAAUUGUAACGGCCAAGACGCUAGAUACUAGUUGGUAGAGUGGGAGAGGGAACGUUUUGUUCGAAUCAAGGGUGCUAGCCCGGUGGCCACGCGUCGUCGUAGUGUUGAUUAAGUAGAACUUUACCCGAUACGUUGAACAACCGUACGCUCUCAACCGUAAGGGGUGCGUGUUAGAUUAUUCAAUAGUAUUUUAUUAAUUGCUGCUGAUUCGGUUUUGAUGAAGGAAAGGCAAAAAAACCAUACCGCCCCCCCACGCUCGCUGCUGAAGCCUAGAUCCAUUCUGCUCGCCAGUUUGUAAUUGUAAGCAGAGAAUUCGUAUUUGAGAAACGGAAAACCGGCCCUCCCAUUUAACUUAACUAUAAACAGGCAAAUUGAUACGCAAAUAUUAUACGCUGAACCCCCCCGGGAUACAUACCCGCAAAAGGAAAAACUGGCAAACGCAAAACGCAAUCCGAUAUUCGGUACGAAUAAAGGACAAUGUAAAGCAACACACAAAUAGAAGAAAAAAAAACAGCGCAGCAUACAUACAAAAAAAAAUGCAAAGACAAAAGUAUUUCGAUAAUAAAUUAUUAAACUGUAAAGGAAUAAAAAA
Molecule: RNA transcript, 8162 nt
Organism: Anopheles stephensi (Asian malaria mosquito)
Lineage: Eukaryota; Metazoa; Arthropoda; Insecta; Diptera; Culicidae
Gene name: mucin-19
Exons: 13
Source: RefSeq, a predicted model, not a curated record